This 9814-nucleotide long non-coding RNA is filed under the name Homo sapiens (human). RNAcentral describes it as "HSALNT0364195". Lineage: Eukaryota; Metazoa; Chordata; Mammalia; Primates; Hominidae. The record is from RNAcentral.
AAGUGAGACCCUGUCUUUAUUUAAAAUUAAGGAAAAAUAAAGAUACGAUACUGUAUGCAGAUUUAAAUCAUUUUGAGCAAGUCGUAUUUUCUUGCCACCUUGGAAGAGUCAAUUAACAUUUAUUGCUGGCCACAUGGCAGACAAUAUGCUCAAUGCUUCAUGGGCAUUAUCUCAUUUCUGUUUUAAAUUACAAAAUGAAGUCUAUGGAUGUUGAAAAUUUUGAAAGAUAUAGAAAAACACAGGAUAAAAAUUGAGAGGCUCUCGUCUCUUCUGCCUUCCCUUACCUUCUCUCUCACUGCUCUCUUUCCCUACAGCUUACCCUAGUGGUACAUGUAUGGUUGUGUGCCGGAUAUGUAUGUGUGUGUUUGUGGGUAGCUGUGUGUACAUACACACAUAACCAUACAAACAAGACCAUAGCUAUUUAUUGUAUUAAGACUUUUCCCCCCUUUUUAAUAGUGUAAUUUGGAUAUUUUCCUGCCUUCUACCAAAUACAUAAAUAUCAUGUUUCUUAAUACUCUUAAUAGUCUAUUCCAUAGUUUAGACUGUAUUUAACAACUCCCUUAUCAUUAGAUAUUUAGGCUUGUCCAGCUUUUUGCUAUCACAAACAGGGAUCUUGGUGUAUAUGUGAAUGUUGGCAGCAGGUUAGCAGAGCACCAGAAGUGGGACUACUGGUCAAACCUUUGCACAAAAAUCAUACAGCCUCUAAUAGCAUUUCCCAGAGAAGAAAAGGGCCUUGUCUGGAACACAGAUCAAGAACUCUUAACUUUUUCUGAUCCAUGCUUUACAUUGCCACUUGAUAAAUACUACAUGUCAUCUCUAAGUACCACUAAAUCUCCCAUCUGGAGAGAUGGGACACUCUCCUUUAUACCUUUGAUGACUUUACUACCCAUGAUAAAAGCAGGAGAUCCCACCUUCCAGCUGCCCCUUCUUAAACAUCUAACUCUGUGCAAGUCCCAACCCUCAUUUAAUCACUUUGCUACUUCAUUGCAUUCAUCACACCAACUUGCAGUUAUUUGUACAGUUGUUCAUCUUCCAUUAGACUGAGCCCUCUGAGGGCAGGAAAUAUUUUUCAUUCUUCUUGGAACUUCCUUUUCCUAACAUAGUGUCUGAGAUGCUCAAUAAACUUUUUUUUGAGUGAAUAAAAAAUAAAUGAGGGAGUAGAAUACCUAGAUGAAUUCAGUUAUAAAAUGGCUCCAGGUACUGAAAUUGUCCAUUUUCAUUUUUAUGUUUUUGCAAUAAGAAAGAUGAACAUGCAUCUCCCCUAGUGCUACUUUUUUCAAAACUAAAUAUUCUAAUUCCAAGGCUUUAUUUCCGUCAAAUAACUACCACUUCCAAAUUCUUCUGUUAUUUUUAUUGUUCUCCAGGAUCUCUCCAUCUCAAUCAUGUCAUACAUUGGAAACAAUUCUCUGACACUUCAUCUAUAUACAAUCAACACUUUGUUAGGCUCUUGUAGCUGCCUCAUUUUUUGUAACACAAUAGAAUACUUGCCUUAAUAAUAAAUUAUAUUUGCCUUACAGUAUGGCUUAUUAGAUACCCAAAAUGUUUUCUGCCAUGCUUUCGAAAUGUUUUGACUGCAUGACAUUCUAUGGUGUUAAAAUUCCCCAAAAUGAAUGAUUUAUACUGCAUUUGCCUUAAUUGGAAUCUAUCCUGUUUUCAUCUUUCCUACUUUGACAGUCAUCUCAAUGUAAAUCCUGUGUCAGAGGUGCUUAUCUGUCUCUUUGCUACUUUUCUUUGAAAACUAAACAUAAACACAAGAAAUUUCACAUAGUAAAACUAGUAAGAUCUGGGUUUAUAAAUAUAAAUGGUGCAUCUGUGGCGGCAGAGCUCUGUCUCCAACUUCUUGGAGAUAAACAAGUUCAUAGUUAGAAAUGCUCUAGAAGUAAACAGGAAACCUGCUACACAAAUUGUGAAAUAUAAGUAUGUUUUAUAGAAGUCCUGAAAUUGUAUUUUUCAACAAGUUAAAACAGAAAAACCUAACACUACCAUAUCCAUUAAAUAUUAAUUCUCUCUUCCUCAAAUGUUUUACUCAUAUCUAUGCCUGUCCCUUUGGAACAUUUUUCAGUCAAAUUCAUAACACUGUCUUGAUUCCAAGCCUCAGGAGAACAUUUGAAUGAAAUUUUCAAAUGCUUCAAUUUUUAUAUCAUCCAAUGUGGAAUUCACAUUUACUGAGCACCUGCAAUGAGCUAGGAUCUGUACUACAUACUUUUAAAAAUACAUUAUUUUUCCUAAGAAAGUUCUGAGGUAGAUAUAUUAUUUUACAGAUGAGGAAACAGAGGUUCAGAGAGGUUAACUGACUUCACAAAAGUCAUAGAGCUACUAGGUAACAGAGCUCAUUGAACAUGGAGCUAGGAUUCAACCCUGGAUCGCCGUGAAGCCAUUUUGUUUCCAUGACAUCAUGACAUUGGUUAUAACACCACAAUUGUUUAGAAUAUAAGGCUUGUUUAGAAUGCAAGGCUUCCUCAAUUCUCCACCCUUCCCCUCUUGACAUCUUGCUCUUCUUCCCUUCAUCUAUUGUGUUAGUCAGGUGCAUGCUGGUCUUCCCUCUAUCAAACUGUAAGCUACUUGGAGACUUGGGAUGCCUCACUCAUCUCUAUUCCCAAACCUCAGGGUCUAUCAUUCUACCUUCUGUAUAGACAGGACUUUCAUAGUUUUGAACAAGUCAGAACCUGAAAGAAUUUGCUUCCAGAACAGGACAUUGACAGGAAAAUUAAGCAUGAUCAUGCCGAGUAAAAUAGGAAUAAGAAUUGGACCUACCUCAAGAUCUGUUGAGAAGAUUAUGAGAGAGCUGAUGGAUCUAAAAGAUUGGCGCUUGAUAGAAUUGGGAUCAUUUGUUUUGACUAGAACAAUCUCUUGCAGCUUGGAUGGAGAAACUUUACAGAGGUUUCAGCCAAACACUCAUGAAUUCUUUAAUGUGUGAAAUAAAGUAAGUUUUAUAGGCAAAUAACAAUCUGAAUCCCUAACUAGCUAUUUCAUAUAAUAUGCAUAUAACUCUGAAAAUUACAUACAUCAAAUUUCAAUUUGGCUUCAUGCAUGCUUUGUUUUAUAGAUUCAUAAAGGCAGAUUUUCUCUGAUUAUCAGACUUAUUGCAAAAUGGAGUCAACACAGAAACUUCCUGAAGUUGGCAAAGCUUGUUUUCUUUGGCUGACAGGAGUAACUGAUGUAUUAUUAUUUUUUAAGGCUCUGAGAUAAAUCUGAUUCAUGUUUGAAUCAUAAGUUUAUUAUUGAUUUUUAGUGUGGAUUUUGCAUAAGAUACUCAAUUUAGAGAAUACUCAGCUUUCUCAUAUGCAGAAUAGAAAAAAAGUAGUUACCUGAUCAGAUUUUUUGAAAGGUAAAUGCAACAGCAGUUGUAAAUGGCAUAGUCCAUUGUUAGGAAUAGACUAGGUGUUCAAUAAAUGAAUAAAAAAAAACCGUGAAGCUCUCCUGAAGCUUUAUAUUCCCUGUCUAUAAAAUGGAGACAUCACUGAUUUCCUGCUUACAUUACAAGACUGCUGUGAAGAUCAAAUGAAGAAACAGAUAAAAAUGUUUGGUAAACUGAAUUGUACAGUAUAAAUAGAAAGCGGUGACAAAAGUAAUUCAUACCAAUGCAGUUUUUUAAAAAUAUCCCAACCUGCCUACACAACUACUUCCUCUCUCUGAGAUUUAUCUCAAAAGUGGAAUUAGAUUCCUGUCUUAGCUGUAAAAAUAAAGCCACAAAGGGCAUCAUGCAUGAGAGAGUAAAUGUGAAACUCUGUGGGGGAAAAUGGAAACUUCAGAUAUUAUUAGGGCCUAGCUGCCAAUGGUGAUUCUCUCAAGAUUUUAUUGGCAGGUUGAGUGAAAGUGCCAGAGUGUGGAUGCACAAAUUGUAGUUUAAUUGGUGUGAUUUAUAGCUAAUGGUGCAUCAGAAGGAGGAACUAGGAACUGUGCCUUCUAAUUUAAGGCAUAGUACCUAAGACUGCAUCCACUAGGUAAGAAAACCUUCCUUGGCAAACUCAAAUAUUAAAUCUUCGCUGAAUUUGUCUUGUUCUUUUAUAUAAAAAUCAUGGAGCCAGGAGCUAAAAUAAUAUCUAAGUUUCCUCUUUGCCUGACGCCAUCCAUGCAAAAUGUGACUUGCUUCUUCAGCAGCAGCAUGAAAACAAACUAAUACACCACUAUUCCUAGGUAAGUAGAGCCACAAUGGGAAGACCACUAAGGGAAUAUGGAGGCUCACAGAGGCUAGUCAAUUUAUCCAAGGCCACGCAGCAAAGCUGGGACUCAAACUCAAAUCUUCUAGUCCUAGUUUCAUUCAGUUUUUUUUUUUUCCUACAUUGAUUCUAGACUUUGUUCUACAAGUGACUACUUUUCUGUUUUGUUCCUGACAUGAACAUGUCCAUGGCUGUCUCAGACUUGUUUGGUUACCCUAAGUAACCAUUUAGCAGCCAAUUUCUGAUAUGACUAUAGAUACAUCUCUAUAAGUGAAUUCUAUAGGUGAUUUGGCAUGAUCAAAAUGAAAAGGCUUUGUUUGAGUUCCCCAAUAUACUGCUCAAAUGAAAGCUUCUCAAAAUAUCAUUUUGAGAUACGACAGGUCUUUCCUUCAAAUACAACAGAUACUUUUCUUUUGCAGCACUCAGCAUACAUACAACUAUUUAUUUAUCUGUAAGUACUUGCUUAGUAUCUGUGAAGAACAUUGCAGGUACCUGACAUAUGUCUAACUGAUGGAGUGAGGCUGCUAAUGUGGCCAUCUCUCCCUCUUCCUGAUAAGAAAGUGAACCAGCCAUUUCAAAAUGUGGAGAAUUCGAUAAAUAUGUUCUACUCCUCUAUAGCCCUCCCACUAAAAUAAUUUUCAAUUUUCAAUUGAGGUGAAAGGAAGAAUCGGCAAAGAGACGGAUUGAGAGAAUUGUUUAUACUCAUAACUUCGUUCUCAACAUAAUUAUCUAUUUCUGAAUCCUAAAAAUCACCUAGCUAGAUUCUCCCUCAAUCUGAAGAUUACCUUUUACUCCUUGAGAUGCUAAAUGUGUUCCUAUUUAUCAUAUUAAUAUUGCGAGUAUUUUGUGUUAUGCAGCCAGAAAAAUCACAUAAUGGGAACUUACCCACAGCCCCCAAACUCAUAAACAGGAGCUGAAUAGAAAUUCCUCAGUGCAAUUUAUGGUAACAAUUUCAUGCUCAGUUUAGUUACUUCCAUGACUCAGAAAAGAAAUUUCUUUUGCUUAUUUCAGUAAUUUUUUUCUAAAAAAUUGUUCCCCUAAUUUUUGGCAAAGGAUCUAUGAGAAAGUGAAGAACUCCCUGGUUGUACAUGGAUUUGGAAUUGUCACUUAAGUGAGGCCAAAAUGUAACCCUAUGCCAUUCAUUGCAUAGUACCAUUUGUUAUAAAUUUGACCUCUAAAACAAAGAUAUUACAAAGCCAUUGAGUGUUUUUUUAAGGGAUAUAUUAUAUUUGUCACUUAGUCCCCAGUAUUAUGAUGGAAAACCUGGAUAGUGGAUAGAAAACCUGGAGGUCAUUUAGGCAUCUCUUUCACUGGUUGGGUGAGAAAUGGUGAAGAAGAUGGGAAUGGAGAAGGGACAUACAUUUGGUAAGUGUAAAUAAGAGUCUUUGCUGAUUAAUUCAGUGUGGCCCAUGAGAAAGAGUGGAAGUGUCCAAGGUUCCCUCAGGUUUACAGCUUGGGCAACUGACUGAGAACAGAAAGGAGCUGCCAUUGAGAGGAAGAAAAGAAAAUGACACUGAGUCCAUGUUGGGACACAUUGGGUUUAAAGGGAUAUCAUUAUGACCUAAGCUCUCUGAAUUCCAGUGACUGGGAAUAUGGGAAGAUACAUCUUUAACAGUUGAAGCAAUUUAUACACUUUAACAAUUGAAGCAAUUUAUACACCAGAGCCUAAGGAAUAUUUAUAGAUGAGGGCUGUGCUGCAAUGACAGAUAGGGUUGUAUGAAACAUACACUAAUCUGACCAUUCUAUCCUCCAGACUCAGGGAAGGAAAUAAUAAAAGUAAGUAACCAUAAAAAAUAGACUUUUAUGCAUAAAUAAAUAAAAAUCAGCUAGGAGACAGUUCAUCCCUGUAUAAGUAAAACAGGCAAAUUUAUCUUUCCUCUGAUUAAUAAUUUAAGAAAAAAUCCCAAGCAAGCUGCCUAUGGAGGUGUAGGAGUAGCUCCUAUAAUUAGACUCCAAUUUGAACCAUGAGGGUGAGGAUCAGAAAGCUGACUCAGAGCCUGGUGUCAAUUAUUUGCAGUUUGUACAACGAAAGGCUAAAAAUUUGGGAGAUGCAGGAUGACUGAAGCCCGAUUCUGGGGGUUGUUACAGCACAGUUACAGGGAUGUUCUCAGGUGUCUGGUGAUCCUUGCUUAUAAGUCCAAAUUAAUGAUGAGGCACUAAAAUGCUGAUUGGAAGCUCUCUGUGCAGGCAGGUAUUGUUGAAUAGUGGUAAACAGGGGACAUGUUCAUUUUGGAGACACUCAAAUAUCAGGACCUAUAAAUCUCUAUGCCAAGUCAGUUUCCCCAGAGUCUCUUAAUAUCAUUUCUUUCAGGUUAAAAGCCUGGUUACCAGGUUCUGGGAGUGAAGGGAGGAGUGGGGCUUAGACAAGGGUGGGGGCGGGGGUAUGUCUCACAAUUCACUAAAUACCUUCUUUUAUAUAUGUGUUCUCUGUGCAGCAUUUUACCCCCACCAUCGUCCAUGUCUGAUGCCUCAGGUUCAAUCUUGUUCAGUCUUUCCAAAGAGGAAACAUUGGUUGGGUGGGAAUGAUUGGCAGGUCGAAGAGAGAAUUUGAAGCUAUAGCUGCUCCUUUUAAAACUUCUAACUCAUCUUUGUUUUUUCAGGCCUUCCUCACACCCAUGUCUUCAGAUACCCAAGGCCUUUAAUACCCAAGUCCUUCCAGGAUUCUGCACAUCUCAUUAGCUUCAUAUUCCCGUAAGUACUUGGGUUUCUGCUUUCUCAGCUCUGAUGUGUCAUUUUCUAAUCAAUCAUCAGCAUUCCAGCUUCCAAAGUUUUGUUCAUAUAUCUUACAUGUGUUGUCUUGACCGACUUCUUUUUGGACCUUAGAUUAUUUACCUAUUUAAAUUCCUUAAUUGUUACUUUAGUGGAGUUUUGGAAGGGAACAAAAAUAUAGGCAGGUGUUUAUCACAUUUAACAAGGAACUCAAAAUUUAUAUUUAAUUCUAUUUAAUCUGGCUGCCUUCUUGCCAUCAGUCUAUUUGAAAAGUUCAUAUGGACCCAGCUCUGUCAUCAUCACAUGUUCUAUAUCCCCAAACCUUGUGACAUCUGCAAAGAAGUACAGAAGACCUCAAGAGAAGAUAAGCUAGAAUUUAUUUAUUUUUAUACCUUUUAUUCAGUUUUUAUUAAAGCUUUCCUACCUUUCCAGAUUGACACAGAAUUAUUCCAUGAAUCUGUCUAUUAAUCCAUUUACAGCAAGUGCUGGGGAUAGAAAUUAAGGUUUAAACAUAUAAUUCCUGCCAUCAAAGGACUCCCUGUUGAUUAGGGGACACAGGCAAGAAAAUAGACAGUAAGUUUGUUAAGGCAUGAACAAAGAACUGUGUUGGUACACACAGUACAGAGAGGAAGUACAAAGAGGAUGGUGCUUAAGAAGAGUUAACACCUAGACCUAAUCUUAGAGGAUGAGGAAGCAUUGGGUAGACUAGAAGACUAGGUGUAGGGGUAAAGGAAGGCAUAUCAGAGAAAAGGGAGCAGCUACAUAGAGGCAAGGACUAUGCCUCUUCUGCCUCUGAAGAGGAGAAAUUUCUUUCAAUCAAUAGAAAGUGCAGGACAAAGGGUACUAAGUCAUCUUUUGAUGGGAUAACUUGAUGUUAGUGUCCUUCCAUGAGAAAAUGGGAAGCAGCCCCUUAUAAUAAAACCUCUGGCUUUUGAAUUACCAAGUAAAACUGAGGUGUCAGCAACCCUUGGCUGAAUGUGGAACUUGCUAAUAGAACCCCUACAUUCAUGGGAAGGGAUAAAAGAGCUUUAAAAAGUACAAAAGCAUUGUGUGAAUAUAUGGGAUUAAUAUUACUACUACAAUAUUGCCUACCACCACCAUCCCCAGCCCUGAGGAGUCUUCUUAAACUUACAAAAUGAAGCUGCUUCUCUAUGGAUGUAGACAUUUCCUGGUUUCAACAUUGCACCAUAGCUAUGCAUUAUGUCAACAUUGGGAAAAGGCAGGGUGGAAGGUGCACAGGAGCUCUCUGUACAUUUCUUUGAAACUUCCUUUAUACCUUUUAAAAGUUAAAAAGCAGCAGCAGUGGCAGCUUCUCAAGGCCAAAGAUGGGGAGCUCUAUUUCAUUUGCAUUUCUACUCAGGGCUAUAAUGAAUUGAACUCAAUGUGUUGCUAAAGAUUAUUAUGAAAUUAAAAUCCAAUUAGGAUGGUCUCGUGGGUCUGGUAAAAGCUUGGAUUAGAGACCAGGCACAACACGGGGUUGGGGGAGAUGGACUGCUCAAUAGAAGUAGGGCUGAGUGGGGAGUUUAAAGCACUGGCCUCUAAGUAUAGGAACCACUGUACAAAUUUUAAAAUAUACUCAGGAUAGUUAAUAUUUGAUCAAAAUCCACUGUGAAGUGAGGAAUUUUUCCUGCUGGGCAUUCUAUUUUCCAGUUCUAUGAUCAAGCCCAGUGACUGGUAAAUACAAUAUGCCCCACUAGCCCCCAGCUUCUCCCAGCUCCUGUUCCCUCCUGGUGCUCAAAGGGAGAAAGGCUAAGAAAUUCCAAGCCCUGGUCAGGAAAGUGAUCUUGAAAUCACACACAAUGAAUAGUGCCAUCACUAAUGACUCAGCUUGUAAAGAACCAGUGAAGUGAGGAAAUUCUUUCUAUGCACAGAAUGUCUAGAUAUUUAGGCAAAAUUGAAGGGGAUGAGGCAGGAAUAACCAGGACAAACUCAGUAAGAACUUCAACCCUGGUUUUCUCAAGAUUCAGUUUAUGUGCUGAUCAUUUUCUCUCAUAUCUAAUUCCCUUACUUCCCCUGCUCUGUUUUACAUCGAAAGUGCUGACUUCAUGCAAAUUACAUGCAAUUUGCAUGUAAUUUGGAAUUUGCUCCCUGGGAAAAUCACUUCUGACUAGGUUCAGCCAAUGGGAGGCACUAACAGGAGAUUGGAGGGUAGGAGGAAGGGAGGCAUAAGGGAAUUUCUUUCCCCUCUCUGUUUCAGGUGGCAUUUCAAGAAUGUCUGUUUUUCCUCCAUGAUUUCUAUAGAUAUUCCUUAAUUUUCAAGUCUCCAUUAGCAUAGGUAUGAAGGUUUCUCAAUGUGCUCUUGCUUUGGCUUCCUUUAGUCAGAAUAGAAAGAGAAAGUUUUUUAACUUUAUUCAAACAUAUUAGGGGUUUGCUAGAGAAUACAUUAUUUGCCCCUAGUUAUCCUGAUGUUAUAAAAGGAGGCAGACCUGGACAAGUGUAAAUUAGCACAGACAUUCUAACAAUCACCAGAAAAAUGCACCCAUAAGUAGUGCCAAUGCAAGAAGUUUUGACUGUAAUGCCCGUGUGCAGUAGGCUGAAUGAUGGCCCCCAAGUAUAUCUAUAUCCUAAUCCCGAGAACUUGUGAAUGUUACUUGCUAUGCUGAAAGGGACUUUGAAGGUGUGAUUAAGGGUUUUGAGAUGGGGAGAUUUUCCUGGAUUAUAUGAAUGUGUCCUAAAUAUAAUCACACAGGUCCAUGUAAGAGGUAGGCAAGGUCAAAGGAGGAAAUAGAAGGUAAGAUAAUGAAAACAAGAGGUUGGAGGGCUGUGAGGAAGGGGGUCACAAGCCAAGAAGCAUAGGUGGCCUAGAGAAGCUAGAAAACACAAAGAAAUGGAUUUCUUAUAGAGUCUUCACGGGGGACUAGCCUUGCUCACACCUUGACUUUAGCCUAGUGAAACUGAUUUCAGACUUCUGGCCUCCAAAACUGUAAGAGAAUAGAACUGUGCUG